RNAcentral lists this ribosomal RNA (254 nucleotides) under uncultured bacterium. RNAcentral describes it as "partial 16S ribosomal RNA". It matches the Rfam family "Bacterial small subunit ribosomal RNA", at positions 524 to 776 of the family's 1533-position model. The record is from RNAcentral.
CACGUAGGGACCAAGCGUUGUCCGGAUUUAUUGGGCGUAAAGCGCUCGUAGGCGGUUCGGUAAGUCGGGUGUGAAACCUCUGGGCUCAACCCAGAGACGCCACCCGAUACUGCCGUGACUUGAGUUCGGUAGGGGAGCGGGGAAUUCCUGGUGUAGCGGGGAAAUGCGCAGAUAGCAGGAGGAACACCGGUGGCGAAGGCGCCGCUCUGGGCCGAUACUGACGCUGAGGAGCGAAAGCGUGGGUAGCAAACAGG